CCGUGCUAGGCGGGGAGGUAGCGGUGCCCUGCACUCGCAAUCCGCUCUAGCGAGGCUGAAUUCCCUCCCGAGGGGUUUCGGCCCUCGGGGCCAGCGCGUCGUACGAAAGCGUUGAUGGCCGGGUCCCGCGCGAUGCAGGCCCGUGAACCAGGUCAGGUCCGGAAGGAAGCAGCCUUAAGCGGUUCCCUGUAGGCGCCGCGGGGUGGCUCGACCGGAGCUUGAAGACGACGAACGCGCCUGGGGACCGGCUUCGACGGCUGGGUGCACGG
RNAcentral lists this signal recognition particle RNA (269 nucleotides) under Solirubrobacterales bacterium. Its description in RNAcentral is "signal recognition particle sRNA large type". It matches the Rfam family "Bacterial large signal recognition particle RNA". Rfam says of the family: The signal recognition particle (SRP) is a universally conserved ribonucleoprotein involved in the co-translational targeting of proteins to membranes. Archaeal SRP consists of a 7S RNA and homologues of the eukaryotic SRP19 and SRP54 proteins. Lineage: Bacteria; Bacillati; Actinomycetota; Thermoleophilia; Solirubrobacterales. The record is from RNAcentral.